AUAUUGACGCCCUUUAAGCUCUACUGUCUCCCAGAUUUGUAUUAUUAUAACCAGUUCAUUUCGUUUUCCUAUUCUUAUUGACAAAGUUCGCCUUAAGGAUGGUGGCAUGUUGCUUGCAUGGAAUAUUUCCAAAAAGAGAUAUGCUUUGAUAAAUUAAAUCUUGUUCAUUUGCAAGGAGCAAUCAAAUUUGGUUGUUGUUGCGGCUAAAUUAUGAACUGAGAUCGGAGCGCUGCUCGGCGAGGUCGGUGAGAACCGCACUGAAUGGAGUCGGAUGAGACAGAGGUGAAAAAAAACUGGUCACCUUCGAGGCCAACCUGCAAGAAGUCUACUUGCCGGAAAGUUUCCAACGGAGGACCCUC
RNAcentral lists this long non-coding RNA (359 nucleotides) under Phoenix dactylifera (date palm). Its description in RNAcentral is "long non-coding RNA (PDAC_LNC009068)". Lineage: Eukaryota; Viridiplantae; Streptophyta; Magnoliopsida; Arecales; Arecaceae. The record is from RNAcentral.